UUCUUUUGGCCUCCGCUGGACUCUUUCUAGGAGAUCUCUAUCUUCUUUGAACUGGGGAGCCCAGAACUGGACACGUUCUCGCUGAAUGGCAGCACAGCCUUCUGGUGUGUCAGCUGCUUCCGGCAGCUUCAUGUUGUCAGCAAAGUUGAUGAGAUUGGACUCUAUCCCUUCAUUCAGGUCAUUGAUGAAGAUGUUGAAGGAGACUGGGGGGAUAACGAAGAUGAUGAUGAUGAAGAUGCUGUACCAACCGCUGGGGAACACUGCUAGCUACAAGCCUCCAACUAGACUGCAUCACUGAUCACAACCCUCUGAGCUCAGUUUUCAACCCACCUCACUAUCCGCUCAUCUAUCCCACACAUACUAAGCUUCAUUAUAAGGAUGUUAUGGGAAACAGCAUCAAAAGCCUAACUGAAGUCAAGGUACACAGCAUCUACUGCUCUCCUUCCAUCUACCCAGCUGGUAAUGACAUCAUAGAAGGCUACCAGAAAGGCUCCUGAAGUAUGAUACUAUUCAUUUAAAAAGAUUGAUUUGGGGAAGAGCUUUAGGAAACUUCCACACCCAACAGUUCAUUGAAUCUUGGUUAGAUAAUUCGAGCAUCCUGAAAUCCCAUUUCCUGGAGAUGCACAGCUGGUCAGAAGGCCCACAGGUGAAUUGUGUACAGGUUUUUGAAUAUCAUAUUGCUUGACUGAAGUCUCCACCAUCAAAAUCCACACUUAAGAUAACAGGGCUGUUUUUAUUCUGAUCAGAAUCAACCUUGAAACAGCAACAGUGUUUGGCACCGAGUGGUGUUUAAUAACAACAAAAUAGGGGAAAAUGACACUAAAUGAAUUGGAAUGCAGAAAACGAAUGCUAUCUAAUACGUAAUUGAGUAAAGACACUUGUAUCUGUAAAGACUUUACAGAGCCCAAUGGUUUCUUUAAAAACGGUGUUUUUAAUAAGUUGUGUAAAUAGGUUACACAGGGGGUAGCAAAGAACAUCAGAUUUGUCCUCCCAUGUGCAUGAAUGAUAGUUCUCAUGAAAAGCACUGUUUUACAGUCUUUAUGGGUGAAUGCUCUCAAGCAGGGAUAAAUGAGAUAUCCUACUGUAAAUAUUUUUGCUGCGAAUAUCUCCCAACACAAAUCCUAUGAUGAAAACAAAUUUGUUAGGAAGAUAUUAUCAGAAACCAAUAUCUUCUGACACUUUCAAAUUAUUGCUACUCCCAGUGAAGACAGAGAAUAAUUCAGCUCCUCAGAUACCAUAUAAAGAGAGAGCAACAACAGAAAAAUGAAAAACCUGAAAAUAUGCACAAUGUUUUCAGGAUCAUGCCCAGCUAACCUUAGCAUUAUAAUCUAAAAUAGGCCCCCCAGGCUCAUACCCUCUUCCUCGGGGCAGACUGAUUUCAUGGAUCAAAUAAUCUCGGCCAUACACUCAUCGCAUUACAUAGUUAUCCAAUCCAUUUUUCCUUUGCCUAUAUAUUCCACACCAUGAUAUAUUCACAGUCAGACAAAAUUCGCUUUAAAUAAAAUUAAAGUAUUUCACAUAACCCUCACUUUCUUUUCCUGUCAUAUGGCUUGAGCAUUUAUCUAUUUUGUUUUUUUAAAUCUCAUUAUGUAUCACAGACACACAGUGGUGAUCAGUAUUGUAUUGCAGUAAGAUGAGGGAACAUGCCUUAUAUUGUGUUUGAAAUACUAUGUAAAUGUACAAGGUUAUAAAUACAUUUUUUUAAAGAGAAUAUUAAAAAUCAAGGUGGUAAUUUUAUCAGCAGGUAGAAAGAGAUAAUCAGUGGUCCCACAGCAAUGAAUACUUCUUAUGUAAUGAAGCUGGAAUCAAAUUUUUUGUUAGUAACAGAAAUAACUCCAUGGGUCAUUUUCAAAUUCCGCUGGGUAGAUUGGCCUAGUGUGAUGCUAUAUCACAAACUCAGAGAUCUAUCAGUAAAAACUAAAAACUAACAUGAAAUGUAGCAUCUUGAUUAGAAGACACAUCUUCACUGUUCUUUCUCUUCUGUAUGUCUGAAGAAAAUGAAAAUUUCUCUUUACUGUACUCUUAAUAAAUGCAAAAUCCUGAUGUUAACCUCUGGAAAUUGUCCAGGCAGGAAGACUAUGCCGUCCUUAUCUGACUAUUUGUUAAGGCAAAUAGUACCAUUCUACAUUCUGUGUUUUCCUUUAUGGUAAAUUGUCUAUUUUUAUGAUUGUGUGUUUCUUUGAUAACCAGACUAAAAAUCACUAUGCAUACUAUUCUUCUUUGCCUUCUGUUUACUGUUUGUGCUGUCAUUGAGCAAUUACUUAAUAACAAAUUUGAUGUUUUCUACAGGAUCAAGACUGCCAUACAAAAUUGUUUCUCUCUAGAGGCAUAACACUCAUUUGUUUGCUCUGACAUCUACCCUUGACCAAGCAGAUGUCCCACCACUCUCUAUCUCCUUUUCCAAACCUCACUAUUAUUUUUAUUUUUACACUUAAUAUUUUUCUUAGCGUCUAUCUUCUAAUUCACUUAAUAGAUCAUAUAUCACAUCAUUUCCCUUUUAUCUCUGUCCA
Molecule: long non-coding RNA, 2510 nt
Organism: Numida meleagris (helmeted guineafowl)
Lineage: Eukaryota; Metazoa; Chordata; Aves; Galliformes; Numididae
Exons: 3
Source: RefSeq, a predicted model, not a curated record